AUACAAUUAGUAUAAAAAAUAUAUCAUCUUUCCAAGUUGGAGAUUUAAUAAACAUUAAAUUGUAUA
Molecule: transfer RNA, 66 nt
Filed under: Polylabroides guangdongensis
Lineage: Eukaryota; Metazoa; Platyhelminthes; Monogenea; Mazocraeidea; Microcotylidae
Description: tRNA-Gly
Source: RNAcentral